AGCGAACGCCGGCGGCAGGCCUAACACAUGCAAGUCGAACGGACCCUUCGGGGUUAGUGGCGGACGGGUGAGUAACACGUGGGAACGUGCCUUUAGGUUCGGAAUAGCUCCUGGAAACGGGUGGUAAUGCCGAAUGUGCCCUUCGGGGGAAAGAUUUAUCGCCUUUAGAGCGGCCCGCGUCUGAUUAGCUAGUUGGUGAGGUAAUGGCUCACCAAGGCGACGAUCAGUAGCUGGUCUGAGAGGAUGACCAGCCACAUUGGGACUGAGACACGGCCCAAACUCCUACGGGAGGCAGCAGUGGGGAAUCUUGCGCAAUGGGCGAAAGCCUGACGCAGCCAUGCCGCGUGGAUGAUGAAGGUCUUAGGAUUGUAAAAUCCUUUCACCGGUGAAGAUAAUGACUGUAGCCGGAGAAGAAGCCCCGGCUAACUUCGUGCCAGCCGCCGCGGUAA
This 449-nucleotide ribosomal RNA is filed under the name uncultured bacterium. RNAcentral describes it as "partial 16S ribosomal RNA". It matches the Rfam family "Bacterial small subunit ribosomal RNA", at positions 29 to 523 of the family's 1533-position model. The record is from RNAcentral.